UUUGUUUUUAUAACCAAAACUUUUAUUUUUUGCAGCAUUGCGGAAAAAUUGCAUUCCUAGAAUAAAACCAAUUCAGAGGCGUCCUGAACAGUUUUCCUGACAUUAUUUCAACACGAAUGCGAUUGGUUAACAUCUAUGCAAAAGAUGAGCAAUGACCAGAUGACCGAUGUGAAUCGUCGCACCAAUGUUAGUUCCUAUGCAGUAAUAGCUGAAAUGUAGGAUUUUAAACAAAAUCACGUUACACAAAUGAAACCGGCGCUUAAAUCUUUUAUAGUCGAGUUUUUGGCAAGAAACCUGCGAAGUAAUAAUGUAUGACAUGGUGUAUAAUCGUGAUGAAGGGGCCGAAUCAUAUUGUUUAAAUAGAUACACAAUUUAUGGAGGAUCACACACCACUGAUUUAUAAUUAAAGUUGUUUCAUUUUUAAGAAAAACUCAGUAUCUCGAUAUAUUUUAUACAAGUAAUAAGUUUUGAUUUAUUCCGUCA
Non-coding RNA from Bactrocera oleae (olive fruit fly), 483 nucleotides. The record is from RefSeq and is a predicted model, not a curated record. NCBI's taxonomy places the organism in Eukaryota, Metazoa, Arthropoda, Insecta, Diptera, Tephritidae.